UUUUUUACAACAAAGGAGACAGUUCAAGGGCACAAAAAAAAACAAUAAUAAAAAAAAGCCCGCUACUCGCUGCUCCCAAAAAAGAAUCAAAAGAGGUGGCCGAAAGAAAGGUCAAUUUCGGGAGGAGAGGUGUCCUGAUACCCUCCUUUUGAAAGAGUUCAAGUCGUAGGCAGGAGGAAAUACAGAUGAAGGAAAAUUGUUCCAGAGUUUACCAUCGUGAGGGAUGAAAGAGUGAAGAUGCUGGUUAACUCUUGCAUAAGGGGUUUAGACAGUAUAGGGAUGAGCAUGAGUAGAAAGUCGUGUGCAGCGGGGCCGCGGGAGGGGGGGAGGCAUGCAGUUAGCAAGUUCAGAAGAGCAGUCAGCGUGGAAAUAUCGAUAGAAGAUAGAAAGAGAGGCAACAUCGCGGCGGAAUUUAAGAGGUAGAAGACUAUCAGUAGGAGGAGGAGAGCUGAUGAGACGAAGAGCCUUAGGGUGGUAUUGCUAGACGGAAGGUCGAGGACAAGUUACUUCCCAUGAAGUCAAGUCGUUACUGAGAGUACUUGAAAUGCCCGCCAAAAUACUGGAACAUGGUCGAGUGUCGAGGACACGGGUACCCCCGUGUCUUCGUCGAAAUCGUGAUUUAAAUUGUUAUCAGAAUUUAGACUGAAUGUAAAAAAUACAAUAAAUUAUAAAAUAAAUUUUCGGGAAAAAAAUAUCCUAUUAGGCAGAACACUAGUGUUUCUCUGAUAACAGUACCCGUUCCGCGUUUUACAAGAAUAAGGCGUCGUGACGACAACAAGCUCCCCCCUCCGGCCUGGCGUCACGCGGGAGAGGAAGGCUGCCGCCAUUACUACAAUUCAUCAUCCAUAUACAGAAAAAGCAGCAAUGGCAGCCUACAGACACCUGCUACGUAGAGUGGCUCACGUGGGACAAUGGGAAGACCUGGCCAUCAGGAGGAGAACCCGUUUGUUCAGGAGCCGUAGGGAUCCCUUUGAAAUGUACUCGGAAGAGGAGUUCACUCAACGCUUUCGGCUCUCCAAGCAAGUCACCCUGGAUCUCUUAUCAAAAAUCCAGCACCUAUUGCCAGAUUCUACCAGGAAAAGAGGGCUUCCAAUCCCACCACGUCUCCAGCUGCUGGUAACCCUCCGCUACUAUGCCACUGGGAGCUUCCAGCUUGACAUGGGGGAUUGCUGUGACAUGUCGCUGCCCAGUGUAUCUACCUGUGUCAAGACUGUGACCAGUGCAAUCUGCCAGCUAGCAGGGGACUACAUAAAGUUCCCCAGUCCUGCUGAAGAACAGGAUGUAAUGCGACAAUUUGCCGAGGUAGCUGCCAUGCCCGGAGUUAUUGGAUGUGUAGAUGGUGUACACAUCCCAAUCAUCAGUCCAGGUGGAGAAGAUGCAGAACUUUACCGCUGCAGGAAAGGCUUUUUUUCAUUGAAUAUAAUGGGGGUCUGCAACUCAUCCAUGCUCUUCACAAAUCUGGUCGUGAACUGGCAAGGUAGUGCACAUGAUGCCCGCAUCUUCAGUGAGUCUGUUUUGUGUGCUACUCUGGAGGGAGGGCAGUACAGAGGA
Molecule: long non-coding RNA, 1551 nt
Organism: Eriocheir sinensis (Chinese mitten crab)
Lineage: Eukaryota; Metazoa; Arthropoda; Malacostraca; Decapoda; Varunidae
Exons: 3
Source: RefSeq, a predicted model, not a curated record